AGCUAGUUGACGAGUCCCAAAUAGGACGAAAUGCACAUUGUCCUGGAU
Non-coding RNA from Trichobilharzia regenti, 48 nucleotides. Lineage: Eukaryota; Metazoa; Platyhelminthes; Trematoda; Strigeidida; Schistosomatidae. The record is from Rfam.